UACGUAGGGGGCAAGCGUUGUCCGGAUUAUUGGGCGUAAAGAGCUCGUAGGCGGUUUGGUAAGUCUUGGUGUGAAAUCUCCAACGCUCAACGUGGAGGGCCACCCGAUAGCUGCCAUGACUGGAGUCCGGUAGAGGAGUGUGGAAUUCCCGGUGGUAAGCGGUGAAAUGCGCAGAUAAUCGGGAGGAACACCAACAGCGGAAGGCAGCACUCUGGGC
RNAcentral lists this ribosomal RNA (217 nucleotides) under uncultured bacterium. Its description in RNAcentral is "partial 16S ribosomal RNA". It matches the Rfam family "Bacterial small subunit ribosomal RNA", at positions 524 to 734 of the family's 1533-position model. The record is from RNAcentral.